AGUAAUGUCUGGGAAACUGCCUGAUGGAGGGGGAUAACUGCUGGAAACGGUAGCUAAUACCGCAUAACGUCGCAAGACCAAAGAGGGGGACCUUCGGGCCUCUUGCCAUCGGAUGUGCCCAGAUGGGAUUAGCUAGUAGGUGGGGUAAUGGCUCACCUAGGCGACGAUCCCUAGCUGGUCUGAGAGGAUGACCAGCCACACUGGAACUGAGACACGGUCCAG
This 222-nucleotide ribosomal RNA is filed under the name uncultured bacterium. RNAcentral's name for it is "partial 16S ribosomal RNA". It matches the Rfam family "Bacterial small subunit ribosomal RNA", at positions 109 to 334 of the family's 1533-position model. The record is from RNAcentral.